RNAcentral lists this ribosomal RNA (989 nucleotides) under Capnocytophaga canis. RNAcentral describes it as "bacterial SSU rRNA". It matches the Rfam family "Bacterial small subunit ribosomal RNA", at positions 18 to 1008 of the family's 1533-position model. The record is from RNAcentral. Lineage: Bacteria; Pseudomonadati; Bacteroidota; Flavobacteriia; Flavobacteriales; Flavobacteriaceae.
CCUGGCUCAGGAUGAACGCUAGCGGCAGGCCUAACACAUGCAAGUCGAGGGGUAAGGAGAGCUUGCUCUCCCUAGACCGGCGUACGGGUGCGUAACACGUGUACAAUCUACCUUUUACUAAGGGAUAGCCCGAAGAAAUUUGGAUUAAUACCUUAUAGUAUUAUUUUAUGGCAUCAUUAAAUAAUUAAAGCUACGGUGGUAAAAGAUGAGUACGCGUCCCAUUAGCUAGUUGGAGUGGUAACGGCACACCAAGGCUACGAUGGGUAGGGGUUCUGAGAGGGAUGUCCCCCACACUGGUACUGAGACACGGACCAGACUCCUACGGGAGGCAGCAGUGAGGAAUAUUGGACAAUGGUCGGAAGACUGAUCCAGCCAUGCCGCGUGCAGGAUGACGGCCUUAUGGGUUGUAAACUGCUUUUAUACAGGAAGAAUAAGGUCUACGAGUAGAUUGAUGACGGUACUGUAUGAAUAAGCAUCGGCUAACUCCGUGCCAGCAGCCGCGGUAAUACGGAGGAUGCGAGCGUUAUCCGGAAUCAUUGGGUUUAAAGGGUCCGUAGGCGGGCGUAUAAGUCAGAGGUGAAAGCACUGAGCUCAACUGAGUAACUGCCUUUGAAACUGUAUGUCUUGAAUAGUGGACGAGUUAGCUGGAAUGUGUAGUGUAGCGGUGAAAUGCAUAGAUAUUACACAGAACACCGAUUGCGAAGGCAUGUUACUAACGACCGAUUGACGCUGAUGGACGAAAGCGUGGGGAGCGAACAGGAUUAGAUACCCUGGUAGUCCACGCUGUAAACGAUGGAUACUAGCUGUUUUGGUUUUCGGACUGAGUGGCUAAGCGAAAGUGAUAAGUAUCCCACCUGGGGAGUACGCACGCAAGUGUGAAACUCAAAGGAAUUGACGGGGGCCCGCACAAGCGGUGGAGCAUGUGGUUUAUUCGAUGAUACGCGAGGAACCUUACCAAGGUUUAAAUGGGAACGACGUAUCUAGAGAUA